Kogia breviceps (pygmy sperm whale) is the source of this 7522-nucleotide non-coding RNA. Lineage: Eukaryota; Metazoa; Chordata; Mammalia; Artiodactyla; Physeteridae. The record is from RefSeq and is a predicted model, not a curated record.
UGGUUGUUUUUUUAACAUUGAGCUGCAUGAGCUAUUUAUAUAUUUUAGAGGUUAAUUCUUUGUCCGUUGAUUCAUUUGCAAAUGUUUUCUCCCAUUCUGAGGGUUGUCUUUUCAUCUUAUUUAUAGUUUCCUUGGCUGUGCAAAAGCUUUUAAGUUUCAUUAGGUCUCAUUUGUUUAUUUUUGUUUUUAUUUCCAUUACUCUAGGAGGUGGGUCAUAAAAAGAUCUUGCUGUGAUUUAUGUCAAAGAGUGUUCUUCCUAUGUUUUCCUCUAGAAGUUUGGUAGUGUCCAGUCUUACAUUUAGGUCUUUAAUCCAUUUUGAGCUUAUUUUUGUGUAUGAUGUUCGGGAGUGCUCUAAUUUCAUUCUUAUGCAAGUAGCUGUCCAUUUUUCCCAGCACCACUUAUUGAAGAGAGUGUCUUUUCUCCAUUGUAUAUCCUUGCCUCCUUUGUCAUACAUUAAUUGACCAUAGGUGCCUGGGUUUAUCUCUGGGCUUUCCUGUUCCAUUGAUCUAUAUUUCUGUUUUUGUGCCAGUACCAUAUUGUCUUGAUUACUGUAGUUUGUAGUGUAGUCUGAAGUCAGGGAGUCUGAUUCCUCCAGCCCCAUUUCUUUCCUUCAAGAUUGCUUUAGCUAUUCAGGAUCUUUUCUGUCUCCAUACAAAUUUUAACAUUUCUUUGUUCUAGUUCUGUAAAAAAUGCCAGUGGUAAUUUGAUAGGGAUUGCAUUGAACCUGUAGCUUGCUUUGGGUAGUAUAGUCAUUUUCACAAUAUUGAUCCUUCCAAUGCAAGAACAUGGUAUAUCUCUCCAUCUGUUUGUGCCAUCUUUUAUUUCUUUCAUCAGUGUCUUAUAGUUUUCUGAGUACAGGUCUUUUACCUCCUUAGGUAGGUUUAUUCCUAGGUUCUCUUUGUUGCCAUGGUGAACGAGAUUGUUUCAUUAAUUUCUCUUUCUGAUCUUUCAUUGUUAGUGUGUAGGAAUGCAAGAGAUUUCUGUGCAUUAAUUUUGUAAUCUGCUACUUUACCAAAUUCAUUGAUUAGCUCUAGUAGUUUUCUGGUGGCAUCUUUAGGACUCUCUAUGUAUAGUAUCAUGUCAUUUGCAAACAGUGACAGUUUUACUUCUUUUUCCAACUUGUAUUCCUUUUAUUUCUUUUUCUUCUCUGAUUGCCAUGGCUAGGAAUUCCAAAGCUAUGUUGAAUAAUAGUGGCAAGAGUGGACAUCCUUGUCUUGUUCCUGAUCUUAGAGGAAAUGCUUUCAGUUUUUUUCUUGAUGAGUCUAGCUAAUGGUUUAUCAAUUUUGUUUAUCUUCUCAAAGAACCAGCUUUUAGUUUUAUUGAUCUUUGCUCUUGUUUUCUUUGUUUCUAUUUGAUUAAUUUCUGCUCUGAUCUGUAUGAUUUUUUUCCUUCUUCUGCUAACUUUGGGUUUUCUUUGUUCUUCUUUCUCUAGUUCCUUUAGGUGCAAGAUUAGAUUGCUUAUUUCAGAUUGUUCUUGUUUCUUGAGGUAGGAUUGUAUUGCUAUAAACUUCCUUCUUAGAAUUGCUUUUGCUGAAUUCCGUAGGUUUUGGAUUGUCGUAUUUUCACUAUGAUUUGUCUCUAGGUAUUUUUUUAAUCUCCUCUUUGAUUUCUUCAGUGAUCUCUUGGUUAUUUAGUAACGUAUUGAUUAGCCUCCAUGUGUUUGUGUUUUUUACGGUUUUUUCCCUGUAAUUUAUUUCUAAUCUCAUAGUGUUGUGGUCAGAAAAGAUGAUUAAUAUGAUUUCAUUUUUCUUUAAUUUACCGAGGCUUGAUUUGUGACCCAAGAUGUGAUCUAUCCUGGAGAAUGUUCCGUGUGCACUUGAGAAGAAAGUGUAAUCUGCUGUUUUCAGAAGGAAUGUCAUAUGAAUAUCAAUUAAAUCUAUCUGGUCUAUUGUGUCAUUUAAAGCUUGUGUUUCCUUAUUUAUUUUCAUUUUGGAUGAUAUGUCCAUUGGUGUAAGUUCCGUGUUAAAGUCUCCCACUAUUAUUGUGUUACUGUCGAUCUCCUUUUUUAUAGCUGUUAGCAUUUGCCUUAUGUAUUGUGGUGCUCCUAUAUUAGGUGCAUAUAUAUUUAUAAUUGUUAUAUCUUCUUCUUGGAUUGAUCCCUUGAUCAUUAUGUAGUGUCCUUCCUUGCCUCUUGUAAAAUUCUUUUUUUUAAAGUCAAUUUUAUCUGAUAUGAGAAUUGCUAUUCCAGCUUCCUUUUGAUUUCCAUUUGCAUGGAAUAUCUUUUUCCAUCCCCUCACUUUCAGUCUGUAUGUGUCCCUAGGUCUGAAGUGGGUUUCUUGUAGACAGCAUACAUACGGGUCUUGUUUUUGUAUCCAUUCAGCAAGCCUGUGUCUUUUGGUUGGAGCAUUUAAUCCAUUCACAUUUAAAGUUGUUAUCAAUAUGUAUGUUCCUAUGACCAUUUUCUUAAUUGUUUGGGGUUUGUUUUUGUAGGUCCUUUUCUUCUCUUGUGUUUCCUACUUAAAGAAGUUCCUGUAGCAUUUGUUGUAGAGCUGGUUUGGUGGUACUGAAUUCACUUAGCUUUUGCUUGUCUGUAAAGCUUUUGAUUUCUCCAUUGAAUCUGAAUGAGAUCCUUGCCAGGUACAGUAAUCUUGGAUGUAGUUUCUUUCCUUUCAUCACUUUAAAUAUAUCGUGUCUCUCCCUUCUGGCUUGUAGAGUUUCUGCUGAGAAAUCUACUCUUAACCUUAUGAGAGUUCCCUUGUAUGUUAUUUGUCAUUUUCCCCUUAUUUUAAUAAUUUUUCUUUGUCUUUAAUUUUUGUCAGUUUGAUUACUAUGUGUCUUGGGGUGUUUCUCCUUGGGUUCAUACUGCCUGGGACUCUCUACACUUCCUGGACUUGGGCGGCUAUUUCCUUUCCCAUGUUAGGGAAGUUUUCGACUCUAAUCUCUUCAAAUAUUUUCUUGGGUCGUUUCUCUCUCUCUUCUCCUACUGGGACCCCUAUAAUGUGAAUGUUGUUGCAUUUAAUGUUGUCCCAGAGGUCUCUUAGGCUGUCUUCAUUUCUUUUCAUUCUUUUUUCUUUAUUCUGUUCCGCAGCAGUGAAUGCCACCAUUCUGUCUUCCAGGUCACUUAUCCGUUCUUCUGACUCAGUUAUUCUGCUAUUGAUUCCUUUUGGUGUAUUUUUCAUUUCAGUUAUUUUAUUGUUCAUCUCUGUUUGUUCUUUAAUUCUUCUAGGUCUUUGUUAAACAUUUCUUGCAUCUUCUCGAUCUUUGCCUCCAUUCCUUUUCCAAGGUCCUAGGUCAUGUUCACUAUCAUUAUUCUGAAUUCUUUCUCUGGAAGGUUGCCACUUCAUUUAGUUGAUUUUCUGGGGUUUUAUCUUGUUCCUUCAUCUGGUACAGAGUUUUCUGCCUUUUCAUUUUGUCUGUCUUCCUGUGAAUUAGGCUUUUGUUCCACAGGCUGCAGGAUUGUAGUUCUUCUUGCUUCUGUUGUCUGCCCUCUGGUGAAUGAGGCUAUCUAAGAGGCUUGUGCAAGAUUCCUAAUGGGAAGGGACUGGUGAUAGGUAGAGCUGGGUGUACUCUGGUGGACAGAGUUCAGUAAAACUUUAAUCUGCUUGUCUGCUGAUGGGUGGGGCUGGGUUCCCUCCCUGUUGGUUGUUUGGCCUGAGGCAACCCAACACUGGAGCCUACCUGGGCUCUUUGGUGGGGCUAAUGGCAGACUCUGGGAGGGCUCAUGCCAAGGAAUACUUCCCAGAACUACUGCCAGUGUCCUUGUCCCUAUGGUGAGCCACAGCCACCCUCUACCUCUGCAGGAGACCCUCCAACACUAGCAGGUAGGUCUGGUUCAGUCUUCUAUGGGGGUCACUGCUCCUUCCCUCUGGGUCCUGAUGCACACACUACUUUGUGUGUGCCCUCCAAGAAUGGAGUCUCUGUUUCCCCCAAUCCUGUCAAAGUCCUGCAGUCAAAUCCUGCUAGCCUUCAAAGUCUGAUUCUCUGGGAAUUCCUCCUCCCAUUGCCAGACCCCCAGGUUGGGAAGCCUGAUGGGCUCAGAACCUUCACUCCAGUGGGUGGACUUCUGUGGUAUAAGUGUUCUCCAGUUUGUGAGUCACCUACCCAGUGGUUAUGGGAUUUUAUUUUAUUGUGAUUGUGCCCUUCCUACCAUCUCAUUGCAGCUUCUCCUUUUUCUUUGGAUGUGGGGUAUCUUUUUUGGUGAGUUCCAGUGUCUUCCUGUCAAUGAUUGUUCAGUUAGUUGUUUUUCCGGUGUUCUCACAAGAGGGAGUAAACGCAUGUCCUUCUACUCCACCAUCUUGAACCAAUCUCGACCUACCAAACUCUUGAAGGUUUCCACAACUCAAGACAUGACUGGAAGAAUGACCACCGUUUUGGAAUAGGGAUGAGAUGAAGACCUCAGGAGACAGACCCAGACAAGGAAGUCAAGAGCAAGCAGCCAUGGGACUGAAAUGAGAGACACCUUGCAAGGACCUCCAACCACUUCUUUAGUGCCGGCCCUUAGAGGAAGGAAAUGCCAACCAUGGCUCUCCACCACAGCCUCCCCUUCUACAUUUAGGAUGAAUCACCGAAGUCAUUUCCUAAGUAAACGUUCUUUUUAGCUCCCUGGAGAAAACUGUAAAGGAGCUAGUUUUUUGUUUGUUUCUUUCUUUAUUUAUUUAUUUUUUUGGCUGCGUUGGGUCUUAACCAGGGCACGCAGGCUUCUCUCUAGUUGUGGCGCGGGCUCCAAGGCGUGUGGGCUCUGUAUUUGCAGCACACGGGCUAUCUCGUUGAGGCACGCGAGCUCAGUAGUUGUGGCACGCAGGCUUAGUCGCCCCGUGGCAUGUGGAAUCUUAGUUCCCCAACCAGGGAUGGAACCCACAUCCCCUGCAUUGGAAGGUGGAUUCUUUACCACUGGACCACCAGGGAAGUCCCAAGGAACCAGUUUUAAGAGAAGAGAUUCUAAAAAUAUUCUUGGAAAAUUUCAAUAUUGGUUCAGGGAGUUUUAAAAGAAAGAAAAAUUACAGCAAUCGCUGUGGAUGAGAAUCACAUCACAGCUCCAGUUUGUGCCACCUACAAGACUAGCGGGGUUUUUUCAGAGUCAGCCUCAAACCCAGAAUCAUCUUCCUACAGCAUCGUUUUGAUCCUGUUGCCUCCAUGCUCAAAACCCUCUAAUGGCUUCCCAGGCUCUACAGAAGCAAGCCCAGCAAGUGCAGUGGCCCCAGACCAAGCUCAGCACCUCUGAAGCUGCAUAACCCUGACCAGAACCACUUAGCGGGCACCUAUCACUUCUUGCUUGACUGGUGGUAAUUUUUUCACAUUUAUUUCAGUGAAUAGACCCUAAACUCCUUGAGGGUAGAAUGCCAGGCUGGAUUGCCUUGGAGAAGGAAAUCACUAUCUUUGUGAUAAGUUCGGAGUACCAUGAGUAUUGACAACAUCAGGAAAAUCCCCAGCCCGCUCUGUCAUGACUAGCACACAAUCUAUUAGCACAUCCGUGUCAUGGCAAUAGAAGACCAUGAUGUCUGCCUGUAGCAUGUUAAAUGAGUCAGCAAAGCCCACCAGGUUAGAGAUCAAAUUCAGGACCUGGACUAGAGAUUGGAUUUUGUUCUGUCCUUGGCAGGGAAUGCAGUUCCAGUCCCUGUCACAAGGUGAGGCAGAUUCAUCACCACCUCCAGAAAAAAUAACUUAAAAAGCACUUGCUGACUAUGGCUCCACAAGGCCCUUUGUACACCUACCCCUUUCCAUCUGUAUUGCUUUUAGACACACCUCAGGUUGGGUGGGGGAAUGGGGAAAAAGACUGGGAAUUGUUUGCAUUUUAUUAUUUUUAAAUCUCAAGUUAUGAGUGAUGUUAAAAGUAAAAUGUAUUGAGUAAGCUCAGCUUACUCAGCUGACUGAUGAUGUGAGUGAAAUGCAUGCUCAUUUGCUUACCAAUGUCUUCUUUCCAUGCUGAACACAAAAGGAUUUUUAUUGUGUUUCUAAUUUGAAAUUUGGAUAAUUACAGCAAAUAGACUACUUUUGGAAAGUCACCUUUCCAACAUACCGCAGACAAGAAGCAAUGAGGGAUUCUUGGUGAUGAUUUACUCUUGGAGAAAUAGACAUUGCACUCCUGACCAAACAGCAGAAAUGGAAUGACCUGAAGUACCAUGAUUUUACUGCACAACUAAAGCCAACAUCUGGAUGCAAUCACCAAGAGUUCUGGCUGCUUUGGCCACAUCUAGCAGAGAUGCAGAAAGCCUUACCAAAAGCCCAGUGCAUUCUUUGUGAAGCUGCCCAACACUUUUAGCACACCUGGGGUCAGUUAGGAAGGCAAGAUGUCCAUGUGAGCAGGAUGAGCUCACCCCGUGCCUUUCAAUGAUCUCAAACAUUUGCCAUCUACCCCAGCACAUGCAAAGUACCACCUACAUGCGUAUUGGAUUUCUUGGAUGUGGUGGGAGAAGGGGAGGAGAAGAACAUGUUUCUGCCAUCUUUAUUUAGUAAAUAAGGAAAGACUACAGUCCAUCUACUAGGGUGAAGUACAACUCCACUUACUCUGUGACUAAGCAAGUUAUAUAGUAUCGGCCUCACUCUCCUUGUUGGUAAAACAAAAAUGAUAAUAGUACCUGCCUCAUGAAGCUGUUGAAGACUGGUAAGAUGACAAAUGUAAAAUGGCCACACCAAGUAACUUCUCAAAGAAUGUAGCCUAAAAGAAUUAAAUUAUUUCAUCAUAUUCUCUCUGUGUCUUCUCCAACUUCCAUGCAGAAAAGUCACCUCCCUUAAAAAACUUAAAACUUGAUCUACAAUUCACCCUCACAACUGAACACAUCUCCACUUCUUUCUUUCUUUAUUUAUAUUUUUGAUGUGGACCAUUUUUAAAGUCUUUAUUGAAUUUUUUACAAUAUUGCUUCUGUUUUAUGUUUUGAUUUUUUUGGCCGUGAGGCACGUGGGAUCUUAUCUCCCUGACCGGGGAUUGAACCCGCACCCCGCUGCAUUGGAAGGCAGAGUCUUAACCACUGGACUCCUGGGGAAGUCCCACCAUCUCCACUUCUCUAAAUGUCCAGUUCCUUGAAAGAGGAGUCUGCACACGUGGGCCUGCCCUAAUUCGCAUUCACGCUCACCACCUGCCCCCUCCCACACAGUAAGUGAUGAAGAUCAUUCAUCAACCGCCCUUGCCACCUGACUUGGAGUGUUUCCCAGGCUCCCCCACUGACAUGCUGGACACAGGACUGGAGUGGGUCACUAGAAUGUGGACAAACAUGAUAUUUGCCACGUACGAGCAGAAACUUUGAAUGUGCGCACUUCCUUUACUUUGGCCUCUUGCAUUCUUGUCUUCUUCCACGAGAACAACAUGGAAAAGAAAAGCUACUGCUUUAGCCUGAGUCCUGGAAUGAGAAGAUGCCUUGAGCCCAGGAAAGCCCUCCAGAAUCGCAGCCAAUUCGCAGGCUUCAUUUCAUUUCAGAAGGCAAUAAAUGUUUUAUUCUGUUGAGAAUUGGGUUCUUUGUUCCUACAGCAAAAGCUGACCAAUGUCUAGUAUCUGCUCUCCUGCCGACCUAAGCAUCCCUAUUAUAAUGAUCAGUAAGGGAUAAUAUGCCCCUUCUUCAUCAAACUCCCCCACUUCCUCCACCCACC